GCCAGACUCCUACGGGAGGCAGCAGUGAGGAAUAUUGGUCAAUGGGCGGAAGCCUGAACCAGCCAAGUCGCGCGAGGGAAGAAGGCCCUGCGGGUCGCAGACCUCUUUGGACGGGGAGCAAGGCCGCCGACGUGUCGGCGGAAGGAGAGUACCCGUAGAACAAGCAUCGGCUAACUCCGUGCCAGCAGCCGCGGUAAUACGGAGGAUGCGAGCGUUAUCCGGAUUUAUUGGGUUUAAAGGGUGCGUAGGCGGACUUUUAGGGGAGGGUAAAAGGCCGGGGCCCCACCCCCGGCGAGCCGUUGAAACUGGCUGUCUUGAGAUGUCGAGAGGUAUGCGGAAUGCGCAGUGUAGCGGUGAAAUGCUUAGAUAUUGCGCAGAACUCCGAUUGCGAAGGCAGCAUACCGGCGGCGAUCUGACGCUGAGGCACGAAAGCGUGGGUAUCGAACAGGAUUAGAUAC
RNAcentral lists this ribosomal RNA (458 nucleotides) under uncultured bacterium. RNAcentral describes it as "partial 16S ribosomal RNA". It matches the Rfam family "Bacterial small subunit ribosomal RNA", at positions 330 to 785 of the family's 1533-position model. The record is from RNAcentral.